Molecule: long non-coding RNA, 663 nt
Organism: Phacochoerus africanus (Common warthog)
Lineage: Eukaryota; Metazoa; Chordata; Mammalia; Artiodactyla; Suidae
Exons: 3
Source: RefSeq, a predicted model, not a curated record
AAUAGUUUACAUUAUCAUAACCAGAAGCUAAAAUAUACUAGUUCCUGCAUGUGAAAAAUACCUUAAGCUAAAUUCGUAGGUUUUAAAAACCAAUAAUGUUUUUAAAUGUAAAUUUUUAGAAUCUUUAGAGAAAAUUAUACUGUGCACAGAAGACAGUCCUGUCCUGGAAAGCAAUAUCCCAUUAAUAAAAACUGCUUGAAUUUUAACAUUUUGGGUAGAUAAUUUCAAAGAAAUAAAAUGUAAGAGAAAGUAGUAUAAUAGAUCAUCAAAUAUUCACCAACCAGCAUCAUUUGUUAGUUCAGGGCUAAUUUUGCUUCAUCUAUACUGACACCAACCUCCAUCCUCCCUGGAUUAUCUUGAAACAAAUCUCAUAUUUUAUUGAAGACAGCAGGGAUAUACAAUCCAUUAUGAGAACCUUAGGAACUCUUUUACUGAUGAACAGUUUCGGUCCCCAAACUCCACUGUUCACUGGUCCCCGUAUUCAUAAGUCCAGGUUCUGCUGUGACACACUGCGACAUCAAGGGGCCAGCCGACACAGAAAUUACUUUGUACGAUCUUCAGCGCCAUCUGCUGGAAGCAGACAGAGUUGAUCUACUGUUACUCCAUAAGGCAGAUUCAUUUUACUUUCAAUUUUUAUUUAUUUUCCUUUUUAUGGGUCACACC